CCUACGGGAGGCAGCAGUGAGGAAUAUUGGUCAAUGGACGAGAGUCUGAACCAGCCAAGUAGCGUGAAGGAUGACUGCCCUAUGGGUUGUAAACUUCUUUUAUAAAGGAAUAAAACGAGGCACGUGUGCCUUUUUGCAUGUACUUUAUGAAUAAGGAUCGGCUUACUCCGUGCCAGCAGCCGCGGUAAUACGGAGGAUCCGAGCGUUUUCCGGGUGUAUUGGGUUUAAAGGGAGCGUAGUUGGGUUGUUAAGUGAGGUGUGAAAGUUUGCGGGUCAACCGUAAAAUUGCAAUUGAUACUGGCAGUCUUGAGUACAGUUGUGGUAGGCGGAAUUCGUGGUGUAGCGGUGAAAUGCUUAGAUAUCACGAAGAACCCCGAUUGCGAAGGCAGCUUACUAACCUGUGACUGACAUUGAUGCUCGAAAGUGUGGGUAUCAAACAGGAUUAGAUACCCCAGUAGUC
This 460-nucleotide ribosomal RNA is filed under the name uncultured bacterium. RNAcentral describes it as "partial 16S ribosomal RNA". It matches the Rfam family "Bacterial small subunit ribosomal RNA", at positions 338 to 795 of the family's 1533-position model. The record is from RNAcentral.